Molecule: ribosomal RNA, 530 nt
Filed under: Theileria luwenshuni
Lineage: Eukaryota; Apicomplexa; Aconoidasida; Piroplasmida; Theileriidae
Description: SSU rRNA
Rfam family: Eukaryotic small subunit ribosomal RNA
Source: RNAcentral
UUGGAGGGCAAGUCUGGUGCCAGCAGCCGCGGUAAUUCCAGCUCCAAUAGCGUAUAUUAAAAUUGUUGCAGUUAAAAAGCUCGUAGUUGAAUUUCUGCUGCAUCGCGUCUUCUUUUUGAUGAGUUGGCGUAUUGCGGCUUUUUUCGGAUGAUUUUUUUGUCCGGAUGAUUACUUUGAGAAAAUUAGAGUGCUCAAAGCAGGCUUUUGCCUUGAAUAGUUUAGCAUGGAAUAAUAAAGUAGGACUUUGGUUCUAUUUUGUUGGUUUUAGGUACCAAAGUAAUGGUUAAUAGGAACAGUUGGGGGCAUUCGUAUUUAACUGUCAGAGGUGAAAUUCUUAGAUUUGUUAAAGACGAACUACUGCGAAAGCAUUUGCCAAGGAUGUUUUCAUUAAUCAAGAACGAAAGUUAGGGGAUCGAAGACGAUCAGAUACCGUCGUAGUCCUAACCAUAAACUAUGCCGACUAGAGAUUGGAGGUCGUCAGUUUAUACGACUCCUUCAGCACCUUGAGAGAAAUCAAAGUCUUUGGGUUC